AAAACGACUCUCGGCAACGGAUAUCUCGGCUCUCGCAUCGAUGAAGAACGNAGCGAAAUGCGAUACUUGGUGUGAAUUGCAGAAUCCCGUGAACCAUCGAGUCUUUGAACGCAAGUUGCGCCCGAAGCCGUCAGGCCGAGGGCACGUCUGCCUGGGCGUCACGC
RNAcentral lists this ribosomal RNA (164 nucleotides) under Solanum melongena (eggplant). RNAcentral describes it as "5.8S ribosomal RNA". It matches the Rfam family "5.8S ribosomal RNA". Rfam says of the family: 5.8S ribosomal RNA (5.8S rRNA) is a component of the large subunit of the eukaryotic ribosome. It is transcribed by RNA polymerase I as part of the 45S precursor that also contains 18S and 28S rRNA. The record is from RNAcentral. Lineage: Eukaryota; Viridiplantae; Streptophyta; Magnoliopsida; Solanales; Solanaceae. RNAcentral also lists the same sequence under 13 other names.